GACAGCGUGUCCGAGUGGAUAAGGAGAUGGGCUUGAAGUCCAUUAGGCUCUGCCUACGCAGGUUCGAAUCCUGCCGCUGUCG
Molecule: non-coding RNA, 82 nt
Organism: Perkinsus marinus ATCC 50983
Lineage: Eukaryota; Perkinsozoa; Perkinsida; Perkinsidae
Source: Rfam